UACGGAGGGUGCAAACGUUGCUCGGAAUUAUUGGGCGUAAAGCGCACGUAGGCGGUCCGCUAAGUCGGGUGUGAAAUCCCUCGGCUUAACCAAGGAAGUGCAUUCGAAACUGGCGGGCUCGAGUACUGAAGAGGGUCGCGGAAUUCCCGGUGUAGAGGUGAAAUGCGCAGAUAUCAGGAGGAACACCGGUGGCGAAGGCGGGUCUCUGGGCAACAACUGACGCUGAGGAGCGAAAGCGUGGAGAGCGAACAGG
This 253-nucleotide ribosomal RNA is filed under the name uncultured bacterium. Its description in RNAcentral is "partial 16S ribosomal RNA". It matches the Rfam family "Bacterial small subunit ribosomal RNA", at positions 524 to 776 of the family's 1533-position model. The record is from RNAcentral.